AAAGUUUAAAAAGUUCAUAAAACAAAAAUCAAAAAAUAAAAUUAAAAUUAAAAUGAAGAGGUUGCCAAAGAAGUAGGCACUCAAGAUGACUUGGGAUAAAUCGAAUACCUCUGAAGAUGUCAUGCAAACCAACAAAGACAAAGUGGUGAACUAUGCCUUGGUGGCUCUCGAAGAUGAGGUAAAAGAAUCACCCAAAACCCCUUUACUUUACUAUGAGAUUACUUUAUGCUUUUCAUGAGUUGUUUUAAAAUUAGUUAGUAAGAAAUAAAAAUAUGUUAAAAAAUUAUUCUUCUCUUUCUAUUGAUUUUUUAAAUAUAUAAAAAAAUAAAAAUAAAAAUAAAAAUAUGUAAAAAAAAUAUGUUAACUUCUAGCAUUAAGCAUAAAGAGUUCGAUUCACUUAAAAAGAAAAAUGUAUUACCAAAACAAACAAAAUGAUUUUGAUUGAA
This 446-nucleotide long non-coding RNA is filed under the name Musa acuminata (dwarf banana). RNAcentral describes it as "long non-coding RNA (MACU_LNC011746)". The record is from RNAcentral. Lineage: Eukaryota; Viridiplantae; Streptophyta; Magnoliopsida; Zingiberales; Musaceae.